AUUGCAUUCGAUACUGGUUAGCUAGAGUAUGGGAGAGGAUGGUAGAAUUCCAGGUGUAGCGGUGAAAUGCGUAGAGAUCUGGAGGAAUACCGAUGGCGAAGGCAGCCAUCUGGCCUAAUACUGACACUGAGGUGCGAAAGCAUGGGGAGCAAACAGGAUUAGAUACCCUGGUAGUCCAUGCCGUAAACGAUGUCUACUAGCCGUUGGGGCCCUUGAGGCUUUAGUGGCGCAGCUAACGCGAUAAGUAGACCGCCUGGGGAGUACGGUCGCAAGACUAAAACUCAAAUGAAUUGACGGGGGCCCGCACAAGCGGUGGAGCAUGUGGUUUAAUUCGAUGCAACGCGAAGAACCUUACCUGGCCUUGACAUACAGAGAACUUUCCAGAGAUGGAUUGGUGCCUUCGGGAACUCUGAUACAGGUGCUGCAUGGCUGUCGUCAGCUCGUGUCGUGAGAUGUUGGGUUAAGUCCCGCAACGAGCGCAACCCUUUUCCUUAUUUGCCAGCACUUCGGGUGGGAACUUUAAGGAUACUGCCAGUGACAAACUGGAGGAAGGCGGGGACGACGUCAAGUCAUCAUGGCCCUUACGGCCAGGGCUACACACGUGCUACAAUGGUCGGUACAAAGGGUUGCUACUGCGCGAGCAGAUGCUAAUCUCAAAAAGCCGAUCGUAGUCCGGAUCGCAGUCUGCAACUCGACUGCGUGAAGUCGGAAUCGCUAGUAAUCGCGGAUCAGAAUGCCGCGGUGAAUACGUUCCCGGGCCUUGUACACACCGCCCGUCACACCAUGGGAGUUUGUUGCACCAGAAGUAGGUAGUCUAACCUU
RNAcentral lists this ribosomal RNA (822 nucleotides) under Acinetobacter radioresistens. RNAcentral's name for it is "bacterial SSU rRNA". It matches the Rfam family "Bacterial small subunit ribosomal RNA", at positions 620 to 1442 of the family's 1533-position model. The record is from RNAcentral. Lineage: Bacteria; Pseudomonadati; Pseudomonadota; Gammaproteobacteria; Moraxellales; Moraxellaceae.